UAAGAUGAGUUGGGAAAGUUUUUCGCUAAAGGAUUGGGCUAUAUGGUAUCAGCUUGUUGGUGAGGUAACGGCUCACCAAGGCUAUGACGCCUAACUGGUCUGAGAGGAUGAUCAGUCACACUGGAACUGAGACACGGUCCAGACUCCUACGUGAGGCAGCAGUGGGGAAUAUUACACAAUGGAGGAAACUCUGAUGUAGCAACGCCGCGUGGAGGAUGACACAUUUCGGUGCGUAAACUCCUUUUAUAUGGGAAGAUAAUGACGGUACCAUAUGAAUAAGCACCGGCUAACUCCGUGCCAGCAGCCGCGGUAAUACGGAGGGUGCAAGCGUUACUCGGAAUCACUGGGCGUAAAGCGCAUGUAGGCGGUCUUGUAAGUUGGGUGUGAAAGCCUAUGGCUCAACCAUAGAACUGCACCCAAAACUACUAGACUAGAGUCUGGGAGAGGAAAAUGGAAUUAGUUGUGUAGGGGUAAAAUCCGUAGAGAUAACUAGGAAUACCAAAAGCGAAGGCAAUUUUCUGGAACAGUACUGACGCUCAGAUGCGAAAGCGUGGGUAGCAAACAGGAUUAGAUACCCUGGUAGUCCACGCCCUAAACGAUGAAUGUUAGUCGUCGGGAGGCUCGUCCUUUCGGUGAUGCAGCUAACGCAUUAAACAUUCCGCCUGGGGAGUACGGUCGCAAGAUUAAAACUCAAAGGAAUAGACGGGGACCCGCACAAGUGGUGGAGCAUGUGGUUUAAUUCGAAGAUACGCGAAGAACCUUACCUAGCCUUGACAUUGAUAGAAUCCGAUGGAAACAUUGGAGUGCCAGUUUACCGGAGCUUGAAAACAGGUGCUGCACGGCUGUCGUCAGCUCGUGUCGUGAGAUGUUGGGUUAAGUCCCGCAACGAGCGCAACCCUCGUCCUUAGUUACUAACGGUUCGGCCGAGGACUCUAAGGAGACUGCCUUCGUAAGGAGGAGGAAGGUGAGGACGACGUCAAGUCAUCAUGGCCCUUACGGCUAGGGCGACACACGUGCUACAAUGGAUAGGACAAUGAGACGCAAUACCGCGAGGUGGAGCAAAUCUAUAAACCUAUUCUCAGUUCGGAUUGUAGUCUGCAACUCGACUACAUGAAGCUGGAAUCACUAGUAAUCGUAGAUCAGCCAUGCUACGGUGAAUACGUUCCCGGGUCUUGUACUC
RNAcentral lists this ribosomal RNA (1180 nucleotides) under uncultured Campylobacterota bacterium. Its description in RNAcentral is "bacterial SSU rRNA". It matches the Rfam family "Bacterial small subunit ribosomal RNA", at positions 189 to 1388 of the family's 1533-position model. Lineage: Bacteria; Pseudomonadati; Campylobacterota. The record is from RNAcentral.